This 116-nucleotide ribosomal RNA is filed under the name Pteropus alecto (black flying fox). Lineage: Eukaryota; Metazoa; Chordata; Mammalia; Chiroptera; Pteropodidae. The record is from RNAcentral.
GUCUACGGCCAUGGCAUCCUGAACAAGCCCGAUAUCUGAUCUCGGAAGCUAAGCAGGGCUGGGCCUGGUUAGUACUUGGUUGGGAGACCACCUUGGAAGACCAGGUGCUGUAGGCA